Biomphalaria glabrata is the source of this 65-nucleotide non-coding RNA. The record is from Rfam. Lineage: Eukaryota; Metazoa; Mollusca; Gastropoda; Planorbidae.
GCGGUGGCUGAGCGGUAAAGCGCUUGACUCCCAAACCGAAGGUCCCGGGUUCGAAUCCCGGUGCA